Molecule: non-coding RNA, 30 nt
Filed under: Rattus norvegicus (Norway rat)
Lineage: Eukaryota; Metazoa; Chordata; Mammalia; Rodentia; Muridae
Source: RNAcentral
GAGCAAACUGAAGAAAUUCUUCAAGCCUCA